GAAACGCGAUAGUUAAUGUGAAUUGCAGGAUUCAGUGAAUCAUCGAGUCUUUGAACGCACAUUGCGCCCAUAGGUAUUCCUUUGGGCAUGUCUGUUUGAGCGUCAUUACAACCCUCAGCUAACCGCUGGUUUUGAACCUGAACGGGUGACACCGCGCCGGUUUUAAAGUUGUAAGCUCUGCUGGCCGCUCUGCCCAACCAGAACAUAGUAAGCACUACUUGUCCGGGUGAAGCUGAACGGUACGGCCUGAACAAAACCUACCCACUCUCAAGGUUUGACCUCAGAUCAGACAAGGAUACCCGCUGAACUUAAGC
This 314-nucleotide unclassified non-coding RNA is filed under the name plant metagenome. Its description in RNAcentral is "partial contains 5.8S ribosomal RNA, internal transcribed spacer 2, and large subunit ribosomal RNA". The stretch from base 1 to 105 matches the Rfam family "5.8S ribosomal RNA", at positions 50 to 154 of the family's 154-position model. The record is from RNAcentral.